This 454-nucleotide unclassified non-coding RNA is filed under the name uncultured Bordetella sp. RNAcentral's name for it is "partial 16S-23S ribosomal RNA intergenic spacer". It matches the Rfam family "Bacterial small subunit ribosomal RNA", at positions 340 to 794 of the family's 1533-position model. Lineage: Bacteria; Pseudomonadati; Pseudomonadota; Betaproteobacteria; Burkholderiales; Alcaligenaceae. The record is from RNAcentral.
UACGGGAGGCAGCGGUAAGAAUUUUGGACAAUGGGGAAACCUGAUCCAGCCAUCCGCGUGUGCGAUGAAGGCCUUCGGUUGUAAAGCACUUUUUGGCAGGAAGAAAACGGCACAGGAUAAUACCCCGCAGCGACGGCUACCUGCGAAUAAGCACCGGCUAACUACGUGCCAGCAGCCGCGGUAAUACGUAGGGUGCAAGCGUUAAUCGGAAUUACUGGGCGUAAAGCGUGCGCAGGCGGUUCGGAAAGAAAGAUGUGAAAUCCCACAGAGCUUAACUUUGGAACUGCAUUUUAACUACCGAGCUAGAGUGUGUCAGAGGGGGUGGAAUUCCGCGUGUAGCAGUGAAAUGCGUAGAUAUGCGGAGGAACACCGAUGGCGAAGAGCAGCCUCCUGGGGAUAACACUGACGCUCAUGCGCAGCGUGGGGAGCAGACAGAGUUAGAUACCCUCGUAGU